GUCCUGUUGGGAAACACGGGUAGCUGGGGCUGUGGGUGGUGGGGAGAGGAGCAACCUUCAUCCAGGGAUGCUUGAAAGCAAAGGAGCCCCCAGCCCUGCCCGGGCAGGCAGAGCCCGAGCUCUGCACAGCGGGAGAGGUCGCUCCUGGAGCCAAGGUAGAUCCAGCCCUUGCUGGAGGACGGGGACAGAGAGAGGCCGAGAAGGUCUUGCAGAGGAGACUCAACCUGGAGCUCCUGACCCCAGACCAGCCUCACCACCACCUCCUGCAUGAGGAUGGAUCCCUGGGAGCAGGGGCUGGGGUGAUUUGGGGGAUCUCCAUCAGCAACAUGGGCCACCCUAGCGUGAGAGGACAUCACGUUCCCCCGAAAUCAGCCUGGAGGCUGGGAGCGAGCUCAUCCCCAAGGGUCAGGGACACCCCAAGAGGUGCUGGACCCUGAGGGUGGGGUGGUGUGAGGACAGCAAAGGAAAUCAGAGAUACGAGCAGGAAAUAACAAACGUGAGUCAGAAGAGAAGCACGCGCACAAGGGCAGCUUGGGGAAGCUAAUCUGCAAGGAGAUAACGCUGCUGGGAUGGGGGAAAUCAGACACGAGAUUGUAAAAAGGGAGAACCAAGGCUUUCCAAACCAUCCAUCGUGGGUCUGUGCAUCAUGCCUGGCUGCGUCACCCAUGGGUGCUGGGGGCAGCGUGGGCUGGAGCCAUGCUCAGCACCCAGCCUUGGAUGCUGUGGACAGCACGUGCGUGUCAGGGCACCCCGGCAGCCUCCAAAGGCUUCCAAAGCCCCUGAAAUCCCACCCUGGGUGCUGAUCCCCCUGCAGACAGGGCUAGCCCCCGCACAGCCAGCCUGCUUUUAGUCUGCUGGAGAUUAAGCUCUCUGGGGGCCUAAUGGCAAUUCUUUUGGCACGCGUUCAGCAAACCUUAAUCCAUCUUAUCUCCUCUCUGAAAGGAUGAGCUCGGUGCCUCUCCAAGCGCUCCAUGGGGAGCAGAAGCGGCGGGAGCCCUGGCAAUGCGCAAGCUGCUGCGGGCUCCCUGGGGAUGCCCUACAUACAGCAAGGAGGUGGCAGGGCAGAGGCCAGAGCAAUUUGACAGCCUGGGAGGAGGAAGAGGAUGACGCCAGGGAGGCUGACAGGGAGUGCCCCGCACAGCAGCACCUUUCUCCCCAGAGCUGAUGUCACUGGGAGUCCCGGCUGGAAUACAGGGAGCACUGGUUUAUUUGGGAUAUGCCUGGGUGUGGGCCAGAGGUGGUGUCUGGAUGGGACAGGGUUUGGCCCUGAGGCACAUCCCUGCUCCCUCCAUGCAAGGGCUCCCACACCAGCACUGGCUCCAUCCCCUCCGCUGGGCUCCCUCGGUCCCCAGGGAUGCCCCCGUUAUCCCCACGGUGUCCUGAGAGCAUCCCGGCACUGCGGGGUGUGGGGCCGUGCUCCCACUGCUGCUCUCACACUCGGGCACACAAACCUUGAACCUGCCUGGCUGCAAACCUGUCCUGACACCACUAAUUAUAACCGUGCUAAUUGCGCAGCUCUGCCUGAUUCGUUUGGUCAGCUCCACGGCUCGCUGUCACGGGAACGCCAACGAGGGCUGGCAUUUGCCCCCCUGGCCGCCGUCUGGAGCACGGAGCCGUGUCUGACACCCAAGGGCACCGCGGCUCAGCCCAGCACAGACACACGGCCCCAGGACUUGCGGCGCAGACGCCCUCCAAGUGCACCAAGCACCUCCAGCACCAGCCCCCGAAGGUGACCGGCUGGGUGGCAGCCAGGCAGCCAGUCCCAAACCCCCCAGUGCCGUGGGAUCUGCCCUUCCUGAACCCCUUCCACAGGAAAGCAGAGAGGACAGAGAAACCAUGUGCAGAGCUUGAAAUUCUCCACUUUUCUUGAUCAAAGCUCUGCUGGCAGUGGGUGUUUGGGGACUUUGUUUCCAGACGUGGUGUCCCUUGGGUGACCGAUGGCCCAGGGGCUCGCUGGCUCCUGCCCUGGCACCAGACCAGCGUGCUGGGUGCCCAGAGCUAUGCACGCCUUCACAGGGAGGUUUCCUGCUCGCAGUUGGGCUCAUGGCUGUGGUGAGAUGGCUGGGGACAGCGGCAGGAGGUGGUGGUGGUGCUUUGUGCCCCUUGCACCCAUGGCACUGCAAGGUGGGACCAAACCCACCAGCCCUGCUCCAGCCUCCUGUAGUUUUGCACCAUUUGCAGAGGGAGUCCCUGCUGGUGAUCCUGUUGUGGGCUGUGGCCAGCCCCAUCCCCAGCCCUAGAUGCUUACAAAAUCCCAGCACGGACCAUGCCCUUCUAACCAUGGGAUUCGAAGGAAGAAAAACACCCCUGGGCAGGAGGGGUUGGUGGUGGUUGCGGCUUUCCAACAUGCUUGAGCAACUUGUUUGUGCUCUUCGGCUGUGGGAGCUGUGGGCUCGGGUGGGCUGGUCUCACCUGGACCAUGAAGCAUCACCAAAAGGUGCUGGGGCUGUGGUUUGGGUGUGGUGAGGCUGCUGGCGCCGAGGGAGCCGCGGCACGUGCGGGGCAGGCGAGCUGCAGCGGUCCCCAGUGUGGGCAGCAAGGCUUUUGGUUUCCAGUUUCCUUGUUGAAACCAGAAAAAUAUAACCACACUUGGGAGAUAAAAAAAAAAACAAAAAAAAACAAAGCAAAACAAAACAAAAGAGCUAUUUUGGUGGGAAGGAAAUAUUUUUGCUGAAAUAUUUCACUCUUGCAAUUAGCCACACGCCCUUUCCCUUGGCUGUGGGUGGUGGGAGAUGCUGCCGGCUGUCUCUCCUUGCACCUCUCGCUUUCACUCCUCCCACGGCCGUGGGUAGAAGGCUCGGGGCCCCCGGGUGCCCUGGCACUGGUGGGCGAGCAGCCAGCAGGGCCCUCAUGGCCCCCCCCGAGCUGCGUGGGGACAGCCCGGUGGUGGCAGUGGCAGGGAAAGGGGUGAAAAUAAGAGGGGCAGAUCCCAUGGCUGCAGCAUCCCUGCCCCUGGGAUGCAUCCCAGCGAGGCGGUGAUGAUCUCUCCAUGGCCGCAGCACCCAUGGGUGUUGCCUCUGCUGCCGGAUUUCCUGCUGGAGAGCUGUGGCUGGGCCAUGGCUCAGCAUCGCUGCCCGCCGGCCUUGCUCCCGGCCUUGGGCCUGUUUGCUUCGCAUCAGGCUGUGUCCUCACCCCGCCGCCCGUGAGUCAGCGUCUCGGGGCAGCCAAAAAAGCCCUGCAAAGCCCCGCGGGUGCUGCUGGGGUGAAAGCCCAGCCAGCGAAGCCAUCGCACUGCCUGGCCCCCAGCCCUCCUGCCUCCCCAGCGCGGUGUCACGGAGCUCGCUGGGGAUGUGUGAGCCGGGCACGGCCACCAGCCCUGCCACGGGCUGGAGUCGGAGCAUUGAGGGACCCUCCCCAAGAUCUCAGGAGCCUUGGCUGGAAAAUGCAGCAGCACUUGCAAGCGGCGCUCAUUCCCUCCUCGCCUCCCAGAGCUCCUUUUCCCUCUGGAAGAGGAAAUGAAUUAAUUGAGCGGAUGAAUUGAGCAAGAAUUAAUUGAGAAGGAGAAAACAAAGCUGGAUAUUUGCAAGUGAGACGUGAAGCACUGCAGGACCUGCCCGCCACUCUCUGCUGCAGGGGCGCAGAGUUUCUGACCCCGGCUCGUCCCACUCCAGCCCCAGCCACUGGAUGCCCUUGUGUCCAUUCACGCCCUGCUGCGUUGCAUCACCGCUUGAACGCGGGUGCAUGCCGUCUCUAAAGCAACUUGCGGCUAAAAAUGGGUAUAAAGUUUGAUCUGAGCCCGUGCCAAGAUUAAUUUUUAAUUGCUUCUAAUUUCACUCUGCUGGUGUUGGCGAGCCCAGCCCGGCAGAAAGGUCGAGUGGCAGGUGCAGGGCUGGGUUACCCACGGGCAAUGCUCCGGCCGGCGCACACCGGAGGUCUGCAGACCCGUGAGGGCUCGGGCUUUUCAGCUCUGGCAGCAGACAGGACCAGUGCCCUGUGGUUGUCUGCCUGUCCCCGCUGUGCUUGUGUGGGCUCCUGGUUCGUCCCCUGCUCCCCGUGGCUCUUAGCAGCCCUGGGAGCCCCUCUCCUUGCCUCCAGCUGAUGCGAUCAGGCAUCCUGAUGGAGCCCCUGAAGCCAGGGACUUGCAAUUUUUCAGCUGUUGCCUUAGCGCAUCCAAAUGACCCACGCGGUGUUAGAAAUUGCCAUUAAACCCCAAAUACCCCCUGGCAUUCCUGGGUCCAUUCCUGCCUCCCCCUUCCCAUCCCAUCGCUGGGCAUCAGGGGAGUGUUUCUGGCACGGAGACAUGCAGGGAAGCCCAGAUUCUCUGCUUACAUGCCCCAGGGGGCAUCUCCUCUGCCCAGCAUCUCCCUGCCCUGCUGAGCAGGGAUUAGGAGCCUGCAUUCCCAGGGCAGCUCGCGGCUGCCGUCAGAGAGAGUGCAAAUUGCUUGGCCCUGGCUCAGCACCCCGGCACCUUCCACAAAAUCCCCCGAAUGCGCCACGCUUGCACUGACAAAGCAAACAUUUAUUCAAAUGACAAAGGUCACCCCUUCCUUUUUUGACAGCUAUUUUUGUCCGUUUUGCUAAAGUCCAAGGGUAAAGGAACUGCAGAGGCAGGCACGGCACGCUAAGGAUGAGGCUCCAAGCCUCACUUCGGUGUGUUGGAGAGAUUCAGGAAAGAGAAAAUGAGCCUAAGCAGCCAUCCUGGGCAGGAGCCGGGUGGAAGGGCUCAUCCCAUUUGCUUUUCCCACAGCCGUGAGGCCAGGGCAGCCCCAUGAGAGCCCGAUGGCCCCGUCCCCAUGCACCGUGUGUCAUCAGCAGGGACCUGCCCCUUCCAUACCCAAGUACCCCUCAGCCAGCCUCCAGCACCGACGUCCCCCCAGAACAACCCAACGAGCUGUGAGAUGAUGUUUGUGCAUAUUUGCAGGAUGCAUUCCCUCACUCAGGGGGGGUGUUAAUGGGCAGCUGGGCUCCCUGCGAGGUGCUGGCUGCGUCUGGCUUUCAGCAGCACCCCGAGGCUGCGGGAAGGGUCACAGCACAGCCUCCCUGCCUGCACAGAGCAGCCCUCAGCAUCUCAGCAGCGCCCAGAAAGCGGCACCUCGGUGACACCGGGUCACAGCCAGCACCUGAAGAUCCUCCUGGAAAGCACCUCCUGGGUCUGGACCUGCUGAUGGGCUCUGUUCAGUGCAGGGGUGUCCCCUGGGCAUGGCGCAGUGCUGGGGAGGGGGACACACAGUGGAAAGGCGAUGCCAGCCCCCUUUGGAGCCUGGAGGUGUGGGGAUCUGCAGACCCCAAACACUUUGUGCUCCCUGAGCCGGUGAGCCCCAGCCUGGCCCCGUGUCCCCGCACAUUGCAAGGAGGUAGAUGUCCUGGGACAUCACGGGACACAACCACAAACCUUGCCCCUCUCCUGGCUGCUGUUUUGCCUCUGUGUGAGCAGCUCUGCCCAGCCACAGGCAGCAAUGAACGCAGUGAGCCUGCCCCAGCUCUGCCCUGGCCCUGCAGCACGGCACAGCCCCGAGCCACCCGGCGCCGUGCCGAGCCUUCUCCCUUCUCGCCAGGGUGCCUGAGUCAUGCCUGAGUUACAGGAAAACCGUCCUGCGAAACCACAUUCCUGGCGGUAAACCCGGGCUGGGAGCAGCUCUCAGCCGGGUGGCACGCACGCAGCUGCCAGCGGGCUCCUGGGCCGAGCAAAAUGCUUCCUGCUGCAGAUGCUCUCCGGGUGCUCCUGCUCCCCUGAAAAGCCGCCUGGAACGCAGCUUUCCUGCAGAGCCCCAGCCAAGGUUAGUAGCAACAUAUCCCCAGGGAGCCACAGGCUGGAGGAAGAACAUUGACCAGGAACCGCCGGUGGACUUUCUCCAGUUGCUCCAGAGACAAUCCCGAUGACAGCCGAGCUCCCCUGCACGGUCCGAUGACAUGGUUUUCCCUGCUGUGACCAUCUGUGCUGCCUGCCGUUAAUUCCUGCACGUUAAAGAAAAUCCUUCCGAAUAUUAAACCCGCAUGAAGGCACUGGGAGGCUGCCGACCUGCCCUGGGCAUCCCCAGCUCUGCCCCUGCCCCUCUGCUGCUCCCAGCUCCGGCCGUUCCCAGGACACCGAUGAACACUGGAGCACCCAAUGCAGGGCCCCCAGCACUCUCACUGCCUGAUUUCACCCCUUUGCAUUAUUUUAAGCCUCUUUUAUUGAUUUUCUGCACUGCUUCCCUUGCUGGUAGCAGCACUGGCCUCUCCUUGUGUCGCACCCCCAAAGCAGUCUGACCCUCAGGGUGUUCGCGCCCGGCUCACACGUGGGGUGCGAAGCCCCCCCCAGGCUGUGGGGGUAGGUUUAGAGCAGAUUUCUUCUGCUCCCUCUCUCUAACACAAAUCCUGGCCCUGCCACAGGGCUCCGAGAGGACUUGGUGUGUGAUGGAUGCGCACUGUGGGGUCUCUUCCAACAUAAGAUGUUGCCUGGCCGAGGAUAUCGACGUGGUGAUUUCGGAAACAUCAGCCACUUAGCAGAAGCAAAUCCCCAAGCUGCAAUAUUUCAGUGACACUUCACACACUGUGCUGCAGUGGGGCAGUGCCUGGGCUGCCCACCCUGACGGUGUCACCGCCGGCCACGAUGGCUCUGACACCCUGAGCUGCUUCGUUUGGUGGGAAACCUCCCCUCCUGGACCACUUCUUGGGGGAAGAAUUUCAUGGAUAACACUCAGGAGUUGUUUUUUGUUUUUUUUUUCCCUUCAUUUUGCAGUACGGAAGCAAUCCCCAGGCACCCUGACCCAUGCAGGGAGGUCCUUGGCAUCUGCGUUUUGCCUCCACGGCUUUUCCUUGUCGCAGGGAGACUGACAAAUGCCAGACCCACGCUGCUCCCAGGACACGUGCUCAGGUGCGGUGGUGGCCGGAGAGCAUCUGAGCUCACAGCUCGGAUGCAGCCUUGGCCCCGCUUCAGGUUCGUUUCCCUCUGCUGAGCCAAGUCCUGCGGACCGAGGCAUCCGUCCGUGCAGGGUGAACCCCCCCAGCGUUUGUUUUUCUAAGAAAUUAAAACCAAACAAGGGCCGCUCUGUCCCAGCCAUGCCCGAGCAGCGUGACUUCACCCCUGCUAGCCCCUUCUCUUGGCUGUGCAAGAGGACACAAGGCAAAGGUUGCUGUGAUACUGGCAAGGUGCAGGACAGACGGACAGGUCCCUGUGGCUGUGGGUGCUGGUUCCUGCCCGUGGGGUCCCUGUGGGUGCUGGGUGGACGGAGGCUACUGCCUGGGCAACCUGCGGGUGCCAGCCCCGGAGCCACUGCAUCAGCACAGCUGCUGGGGAGGGGCUGCUCAAACCCUUUGUGCUUUGGGGCAUUUUCACCUGCUUGUUUUCAAGUUUUCAAUGCAUUAAUUAAAAACUGUGUUGUUUUUUG
Anas platyrhynchos (mallard) is the source of this 7310-nucleotide long non-coding RNA. RefSeq lists it as uncharacterized. Lineage: Eukaryota; Metazoa; Chordata; Aves; Anseriformes; Anatidae. The record is from RefSeq and is a predicted model, not a curated record.